RNAcentral lists this ribosomal RNA (257 nucleotides) under uncultured Oscillospiraceae bacterium. RNAcentral describes it as "partial 16S ribosomal RNA". It matches the Rfam family "Bacterial small subunit ribosomal RNA", at positions 82 to 339 of the family's 1533-position model. The record is from RNAcentral. Lineage: Bacteria; Bacillati; Bacillota; Clostridia; Eubacteriales; Oscillospiraceae.
CUUAAUGUUCUUAGUGGCGGACGGGUGAGUAACACGUGAGUAACCUGCCUCUGAGAGUGGAAUAGCUUCUGGAAACGGAUGGUAAUACCGCAUAACAUCAUGGAUUCGCAUGUUUCUAUGAUCAAAGAUUUAUCGCUCAGAGAUGGACUCGCGUCUGAUUAGAUAGUUGGUGAGGUAACGGCCCACCAAGUCGACGAUCAGUAGCCGGACUGAGAGGUUGACCGGCCACAUUGGGACUGAGACACGGCCCAGACUCC